Molecule: ribosomal RNA, 253 nt
Filed under: uncultured bacterium
Lineage: Bacteria
Description: partial 16S ribosomal RNA
Rfam family: Bacterial small subunit ribosomal RNA
Source: RNAcentral
UACGGAGGAUCCAAGCGUUAUCCGGAUUUAUUGGGUUUAAAGGGUGCGUAGGCGGUUUAUUAAGUCAGUGGUGAAAGCCCCGGGCUCAACCUGGGAACUGCAUUUGAAACUGGCGGGCUUGAGUAUGGCAGAGGGGGGUGGAAUUCCGCGUGUAGCAGUGAAAUGCGUAGAGAUGCGGAGGAACACCGAUGGCGAAGGCAGCCCCCUGGGCCAAUACUGACGCUCAGGCACGAAAGCGUGGGGAGCAAACAGG